Molecule: long non-coding RNA, 290 nt
Organism: Chionomys nivalis (European snow vole)
Lineage: Eukaryota; Metazoa; Chordata; Mammalia; Rodentia; Cricetidae
Exons: 3
Source: RefSeq, a predicted model, not a curated record
CGGGAAAGGAGCUCGGCUAAGUGAGGGAGCUCCUAGACGGCACAAGUUGUGGCUGGCUUGGGCAGGCUGUGUGGCGGGAUGAUCCUGCACCUCAGAAAGCCCGCCAAGGGUCAGCUCCUCCCUAGGAACUGCUCAAGACCACACCUAUAAGAUGAAGGUGGGAGCUCUCAGCUUUUCGUGGCAGCUGCCACCAUGCCUGCUAACUGCCAUGCCUGCUGGCUGCCAUGCUUCCCAGCCUUGAUGGUGAUGGACUCUUCUCCCUCUCUAAGCACAAAUAAACUCUUCUAUUA